CCCAUUUUGGCAGAAAUAUUAUUGCAAAAGACUUAGAAUCUUACUAACCUAGUAAAAAAACAAAAACACACCACACCACAA
RNAcentral lists this transfer RNA (81 nucleotides) under Dysdera silvatica. RNAcentral's name for it is "tRNA-Leu". The record is from RNAcentral. Lineage: Eukaryota; Metazoa; Arthropoda; Arachnida; Araneae; Dysderidae.